AGACAAAUGCUAUGAGGGUUCAGCUUAUGCAUGAGGCAGCUAUAAAGCUUUGGCUGACCUGCAGCAUAACCAUACUCUGAGAAAAGUAAGUCCAAGUUUAAAUUCAGGCUUAGAAAACAAAACAACCAAAAUUUAACCCAAGCACAGGCUCCUCAAGCUGAAGUUAAGGUGGUACUUGCAUCUUGCAUAAACUCAUUCUGCAGUUGAAGAAGCUGCCACUGGCUAUUCAGCCCUGCUGACUUCCAAGUAUCGAUACUAGCAUGCCUGUGGCUCUGCAAUUACCUAUAUUAGGAAACUGGUCUGGUCAUAAAUUGACUCAGAAAAAGGAGAUUCUGAUCAAAUCAGCUUCCUGAUGCAAGUUAUUGCAUUGCCAGAGUGCGCUACAUCUGGUGCAGAGGAAGUGCGCAGAUGACAGCAAGGCAUCAGUGGGCCCGCUGGGACCGCACCGCAUCCGAGGCAACUCCUGUCAAAAGCAUGCUGUCCUUAGUGGUAAACACAAAAAGACCCACGGUCAAUAUGUGGACUGAAAAAUUCAAUUAAGCCAAUGCAGCAUAUAGGGGGAAGUUACUUUGGAAUUGGUGAUUGCCAAUUUGCUUAAAAGUGAGAAAGAAAACAAAGCUACAAAGUGACACCAUUGCAUAUUUCUGUUAUACUCUUCCUGAACCAAAUUAAUCUCUAAUUUAGUUUGCUAAAAACCAAACAGACAGACAAUUUUAAUACCGUGAGCACAGUGUUCUCACAAAGGAGCCUUGACACAAUGCUUUAAUCCAGUUUAACUAAACAUGUUCUGAAUUUAGCCAGCGCUGGACAUUAAAACCCUUCAAAAUCUCCCGGAUAGUCGCACAGCGGCGUUGAGCAUACCACUGAAUGUCAGUAUUGUUCCACACCAAGGCAGCCCAAACAUAUGAAGGUGAUCAGCUGUAAAGCUUAGAAUAGUUCUCUGUACAUUUUAAUAUGGAUACAAUAGUGUAUCUGUUACUGGCCGUAAACCCCCAUUACCCAGUGUGUGCACCCCAAGCUGGGUGGGGGUGUUCAGCCCAGGGCCGACCUGCAGCGUGGCUGACACUGCCCCCAAGAAGGAUCCCACAGUGGUUUCAAGCCCUAGCAGUUGUCCUGCUGUAAAUGUUCACACUGGUUCUAGGUCAGAAGCCACUGCUUUGUUACGCUGCAUUUCCAACGAGCACAGCCGUGCAGCACGCCAACAUCAUUGCCACCUACGCGUGGCCACGCUGCCCCUGCUCUGCCUGCAGCCAGCUCCCAGCUCGAGAUGUGGCUGCUGGCAGGGCCUCUUCUCUGGCAACAAAUCCCACUCACGGUAUCAGACCGUGCCCUAUGUGCUGUGGAGGGAGGGCCUGCACAGCCAGAGGGCGUUGUCGUUGGACCCCUGCCCCUAUUUACUCAUCGGCCCCAGAUGCCCAGAUGCCAGCUGUGUUCGUGACUUUGUGCGGCCUUGGGGUGAAGUGGAAAAGCAAACUGACCCAGGGGGCCGUGCAUGGCAGAUUAUGGCCUUACAGCAUCUGUGGAAACCGAGAAGUAAAUUCCCACCUAGCUGCCUUCCCUAUCCCCUGGUAUGUGUUACAGGAUGUCUCAUGAUACAUAAUGAUUUUGCUUUUAGAGCAAGAGUUCCCUUCACAACCCCUCACAUACUCAUUCCUCCUUCACAGGCUUUAGCAGUAUGCUAAUGAGAAACUUAAUUAGAAGUGCUCUGGAAAAUUGUAGCUCUAGCCUUGCAGCUUGUAUACGUGUUCUGCCCACUACCCACGGGCACACAGCCUGCUCCCUCGGUAAGCUGGUCAGCUCUCUGCCAGUGCUGACCAUAAUAAAGCAGCUCGUAGAGCAAUGCAAGACUAACCCAUUUCAUUUAUUCCACAUGCUGUCAAACAACUGGCACCAGCCAGAUAAAGAUGGAUUUGAUGUUGUUUACCUUGCAGUUGGUACUACUACAAAAAUAUCAUUUAUAAGGUACGAUUUAACAAAAAUUACCUACAGUGCUUCCAAUACCGAAGAUUUCCCAGCUACUCUGUUUUUUGGCUGCCAGACUUCAUUUAAGAUGUGUAGACAUCCCUGAGUUUUUCUCAUUAUCUAACCUUGUCCUUCUACCCCGUCAGAACUUGAGAUUUGCAAAGAAAAAAAGAUUAGAAAAGCUAAACGUAAGAAAUCACUCUAGUAACAGUAAGAUUCCUCACACCAUUAGGUCAAGUAAAUACCAGUGGGCAAAGAGCAAAGCUUAGGAGCUGGGACACUUUGAGGGUAAAGGUCUUGAAUCAAAGUCCAUCAGUUUAAAAUACAGCAGCAAAAAACCACCACCAGAAUUUAAGAACCAGGGGAGUGCCUCUGCAGCAGUGGACACAUAUACAUACCACUUUGAGAGAGCAGCACACAAACACCCGAUGCAAAAUAAAGGAUGUCCCUCAAAAGGACGUGCUUCCCAUCUCGCUGCUUCUAGGCCUACCUAAGAAGCAGACUGAAGGACUUUGUGGUUUAUUAUUUGCAUCUUUAGUUCAGAGGAAGACAUUCCAGCCCUCGCUCCCAUCCUUGUUAAGGCUCUGACCUAGGAAAUUCCUCACGGCUCUAUAGGGUCUUUUUCACUCUACCAGAAUAUGAAGUCCUCAAAGAAGAAAAACAUCUGGACUGAAAUCACAGCAGGCUUACGAGACAAAUGUGGAGCUCAUUGGAAAGCUGGAAUGGCUGUGAUCAUGGGAAAAACACUGUCUGUAUGUGCUUGUCCUUAGCUACAACCAAGUACUCUAAAAUUUAACUAAUGCAGAAAUGCUGCUGCCAGCUGCUUUUCCCCGACGCUGAGCUGAAUUACAGCCAGAACUCUGAAAACCAGGACCUGAGCGAUUUGUCACUGACCUCUGCAAUGCCCUUUGGAGCGUUACUGUACAGGGCUUGAUAUGGAACCAUCACUGGAAAAUAUUCCAGAGCUCCUACAUCCCCUGCAUCUGGCGGAGCUGCUCCAAAGGACACAAGGAUUAGUGGGAGCGGACUGCCUGAGCCUCUGCUAUGUAUCUAUGGAAAUGAACUUCUAGCAACAAGCCCUUAAGAGAAUGGAAAGUAAUCAAAUGCUCAAAGUAAUCUGGAGAAACAAAUAAGCUCAAAUAGAUGAUUCUAUUUCUACUUCAAAAUUAGUAUUUUUGUCACAAGCAGCUGGUCGGUAGUUUAAGCUAGCUUUUUCCAAUAAAUUCAAGAUAUGUCACAAACGUGCCAUAGAUGUGGCAAAACCUAACAACUUUUGCUUCCCUCCUCCCCAGCCCCAUUCACUGACUCUUAAAAUAGCAAACCUAAUGAGGAGAAGUCCUAUCAAAAACUUCAGUGACAUUUACAAGACAGCCAAUGUGACAGCUCUGAACAUACAAUUAGCUGGACUAACCCUGCUACAACAGCAGUAGUUGUGAGCCUCAGAUCUUACUAAAAUGAGAACGGUCUGUAAUUUCAAGGUUUUAUGUUUUUAUUUUUUGGAAUGCUCCUAUCGCUGGUAGCAUACUGAAGCUGUCAUUAAUCUUCUCAUGUAUAAGAUGCCCACAGCUUAAGACAUCUACACAUUAGGGUGAAAAUGUAUUUGCAUCCCUUCUAAAGAACUGCCUGGUGUUUUUCUUUAUUACUCAAGCAAAACUCCCAGAACCAAUUCAGCUGUCACCUAACAGCAUCAAGUGCUAGUGUCUGUGCAAUAACCACUUAGAUGUACAUCUCAUAAGCAAAAUCAUCCCUAUUAAAGACGAAACACUUUGCUUCCCAGAUACUCAGUGUACAUUUAUUUAUCUCCCCUCUUGUUUAAAAUCUUGUUACUGACUUUCUGGAACUGACUGUGAAAGGAAGCAGUUCACAGAGAAUACUCUGACGUUGUCUUAAGUCAGUAUUUAGUGUCCAGAACAGCCUCUCCAACUUCCUCUGUAUUUACACCAAAAAAAAAUCACAUCCUGCAUAACAAUUUGUGCAGCAUUUCAUCUGACUGAGCAAGUUUCCAAUACUAUAUUUGCAUGGCGCCUCUACAAUUCAGUAUAAAUCUUCUAAAUGCUGGCAAGCUUGUUCCAUCUCUUGCCAACAAAACAAUAUUAGAUUCAGAAUAAUCAAACAAUAUUAGAUACUGAAUAAUUGUGGUUCCAUUUGAGAUCUGCAGGAACAGAAGGUUUCACUGUAAAAGCUGAAAACCCAAUAACGUUUCCCAGAAAAAAAUAAUAUUAAAAAUUCAUUGCUGAAACUACAUUUUUACAUGAAGAUGGAGCAUUUCUAAUACAAUUUAUGUCCAAAUCGGUGAAUCUAGGACUACUAAUGGACCAUUUAAGAAAUUCACUCUCUGAAAGCAUUAGUGAAUAAAGACAUAGAGAGGACCAAAUUGCCAUAGUAAGGUCAAUAUCUCGUCACCAGGAGUUUCAGGAACAGAUCGAUAGGAUUGUUGGGCUCCGAGAACCACCAAGAACUUUGAAUGGCCAAGGCAGCAGGAUUCGAUCACAGGACACAAAAGCCUCAUCUCAGUAGUUAUUUGGGAAAAUGUUUUCUGACUUGCUCUUCCAGUUCACUGCUCCAGUACCUCUGACAGGCUGCAGUGAGGGUGCCACCAGCUUUAUGCCACUCUUUUUCAUGGGCUCUAUUUUAAGAGGCACUCAAGGUUCACGAAAGGACAGCACAGGGCCACAGAGCCACGCACUACUGAAAUACUAGACCUGAGCCAAGAAGCACCUCUGCAGCCCUGCUGUAAAUGACAGCUCUCACUAACAUACGUGUACUCUGACACAACUAGUCCAAAGUCCAAACGGUAAAAGAAGGCAUAUACCCAUUUUUAUUUACCUUCUCUUCCACAAGAGAACGGAGCUGUACUCUUUAAUUCUACCAUCGUAUCGGAUUAAAAUCAGGAUCCAGAAUUUUGAGCGUUAAAGAAUCUUCCAAGAAGUUCCGGCUAAAGAGCAGCCUCUUAUGCACAUACACUGAAUAAGCAUAAAAAAGAUACCACGCGUUUUCUGUGUAUUAAUUAAGUUUACUAUACAGUAAAGCUGUACAGGAAGUAAGUUGGCUGUAAAUAAAGCAAGAGGAAGAAA
Long non-coding RNA from Cygnus atratus (black swan), 5036 nucleotides. RefSeq lists it as uncharacterized. The record is from RefSeq and is a predicted model, not a curated record. The transcript is spliced from 3 exons. Lineage: Eukaryota; Metazoa; Chordata; Aves; Anseriformes; Anatidae.